This 256-nucleotide ribosomal RNA is filed under the name uncultured bacterium. RNAcentral's name for it is "partial 16S ribosomal RNA". It matches the Rfam family "Bacterial small subunit ribosomal RNA", at positions 98 to 354 of the family's 1533-position model. The record is from RNAcentral.
CGGGACGGGUGAGUAACGCGUGGAUAACCUGCCGUAUACUGGGGGAUAACACUUAGAAAUAGGUGCUAAUACCGCAUAAGCGCACAGUCUCGCAUGAGACGGUGUGAAAAACUCCGGUGGUAUACGAUGGAUCCGCGUCUGAUUAGCUUGUUGGCGGGGUAACAGCCCACCAAGGCGACGAUCAGUAGCCGGCCUGAGAGGGUGAACGACCACAUUGGGACUGAGACACGGCCCAAACUCCUACGGGAGGCAGCAG